This 460-nucleotide ribosomal RNA is filed under the name uncultured bacterium. RNAcentral describes it as "partial 16S ribosomal RNA". It matches the Rfam family "Bacterial small subunit ribosomal RNA", at positions 338 to 795 of the family's 1533-position model. The record is from RNAcentral.
CCUACGAGAGGCAGCAGUGAGGAAUAUUGGUCAAUGGACGAGAGUCUGAACCAGCCAAGUAGCGUGAAGGAUGACUGCCCUAUGGGUUGUACACUUCUUUUAUAUGGGAAUAAAAUGUUCCACGUGUGGGAUUUUGUAUGUACCAUAUGAAUAAGGAUCGGCUAACUCCGUGCCAGCAGCCGCGGUAAUACGGAGGAUCCGAGCGUUAUCCGGAUUUAUUGGGUUUAAAGGGAGCGUAGAUGGGUUGUUAAGUCAGUUGUGAAAGUUUGCGGCUCAACCGUAAAAUUGCAAUUGAUACUGGCAGUCUUGAGUACAGUUGAGGUAGGCGGAAUUCGUGGUGUAGCGGUGAAAUGCUUAGAUAUCACGAAGAACUCCGAUUGCGAAGGCAGCUUACUAAACUGCCACUGACAUUGAUGCUCGAAAGUGUGGGUAUCAAACAGGAUUAGAUACCCCAGUAGUC